GGGCGCUUAUUGUUCUGGGGAGAUGCCUCUUCCAGGAGUGGCUUGGGAGGGUCAGAGCUCCUUCCAUUCAGACCAGUCACCCACUUCUCCAGAAAUCGCGUCCCCUUCUUUGCGCCUCUCGUGCCGACAUUCCCUGCAUCGCUCGUCCCUUUCCUGUAUUGCACUGCCCUGUAAACUGGUGAAUAACUGCGUGGGUUCAAAAGCCAUGCUGCCUCUUUUGAUUCCUGGCUCCCCCACAUGACCUGUGAUAACCUUGGACCAACUGUUUGAGGCCGUUUGAGCCUCAGUUUCCCCAUCUGCAAGAUGGGUGCAAGACUAGCACCUCUUCCCAAUCCCGUGAGGAUUCAGGGAGGUGAUGCCAGCAUGAUGGCGGGAACUUGGCGAACCUUUGCACAGAGGUCCGAUCUCUUGCCAUUGCUGUGUCCUGGGCUGACUGCGGGGACAGCAGAGUUCUUAAAAAAUAAUCGCUUUCACAAACGCCAAUAUUUCAGUUGUGCCUCUCCGGUAUAGACAUCUGCUUAUGAAGAGCUAGCAAUACUGGAGGUUCUAGGUAAGACCUGGCUCACGACAGAGGAGAGUGACAGACCAAGGAGGGACUGACACAGAGAGAAACCAGAGCCACAAUUGGGCAGCUCUGUAGGAGAAGCCAUCCCGGACUGGGGAUGCUGGAGCUGGAAGGAAUGGGGAAGAGAUUUCAUGGAGGAAAUUUACCUGCCUUGGCUGCUAGUGGGUGAUAAGCACCAAGGACUGCCGGGGUUCUGAGGAUGUGAAGGUGUAGGGAAGGAAUGACGGAGCCACGACCUCAUCCCGGGGGGAGUCCAUUCGGGGAGAUGCACGUCUCCCUGGAAAAGCUUAGGGCACAGGUGUCCCGAGGAGCUCCAAGUGGGUGGGCUGGGAGGGGAACCCUCUGCGGUCAAAGGUGUGGGAGCCUAGGUGCCUAGACUAGGCUGGGAGGACUGAAUGAAGAGAGCCUCUCAGAGGCAUUCAGAAAACUCUUGCUCUGCGAGCUCAGGUUUCUGUAAGAGUGCAACCCUAAGAACACCUUGCCAGGCACGAGUAACACCUGGGGAGUUAUUAAAACAUUGAUUCCUGGGCUCUGGCCCCGGGAGGUUCUGACUUAGAAGAGGCCCAUGAAUUUGCAUUUCUGACAGACUUCUGGGUGAUGCUGAGCAGCCAGUCCUGAGGACCACACCGUGAGUGGUGCUGCCCUGGACCACACCCAGGCCCUGUCAGCCCCCUGGAUGCUCCUGCUGCGCCCACACCUGCUGCCAGAGGGAUGCCGUGUGGGGCCCGGGCCUCACCUGGACCAGCCGCCGCAGCCUCUCCUGCUGGUCCCACUAGUUAUCUUUGCCAGUCACCAGUGGGGAUUUUUUUGCUGGUGAUGUUCAGACCUUUCACCUCUUCGGGACCCCUCACCCCAAGCCCGUCCAUUGUGGGUGAGACCUGCGGCCAGAGGUCGCGUGAACACACAUGUGGCCUCCUGACAGUUUAUGGCACGGGUGCUGUCUGGGUCUAGCUCCACGUGCCAAGCGCAGGAGAUGAGACAGACCGUGUGCCUUGCUCUCUGCUCUUUCCAAGCUGGUCUAAAAAGGCUCGCAAGCUAUUCCAUAAAGCAUUGCAUCAGGGAACCUUGAGUCAUGCUGCUCUUGGUCAUCCCUUUCAGGUAUUUGCUGUCCUGAUUAAAAUGUGCAGAGGCCUCAUGAGGGAGCUGUCUCCAGACUCUGAGUCAGGGAAUCCAGUUAAUCGAGUUUGUUAGCCUUGAUUGUAAAGUAGGAGUUAAAGGGCCCAGAAUAAGAGCCUGGCAAGAUUGCUUAUGACACAGUGCAUAGAUUUUAGUGCUUGUGUGUGGGGGAUACCCAUUUUGUUUUUAAUAGUGCUAAAAUGUAUGUAGUGUAAUAUUUAUCAUUUUAACCAUUUUAAGUAUAUAAAUCAGUGAUAUCAACUGCAUUUGCAAUUUUGUGUAACCACUAACCAUACCUAAAGCUGUUUUUCUCAUCCUCAAUAUACAUUCUGUACCCAUUAAACAAUAAGCGCUCUCCCCUCCACUCCUUGCAGCCCUGGGUACCUCUGUUCUACUUUCUGCUUCGUGAAUUAGACUCCUGUAUCUCAUGUCAGUGGAAUCAGGCAUAUCUGUCCUCCUGUGUUUUAUGUCACUAAACAGGUUUUCAGGUUCUACCCAUAUGGUAGCAUAUAUCAAAAUCGCUUUCCUUUUCAGGGCUGAAUAGCAUUCCCCUGUGUACAUAUGCCACAUUUUUUUAAUCCGUUCACCGUUGGUGGAUGCUUGGCUCACUUCCCCCUUUGGCUAUUAACUGAAUAAUGCUGCUCUUGACACUAGUGAAUGAAUACCUCUUAGAAUCUCUGACUUCCGUUCUUCUUUUUACAUAUCUGGGCGUCAGGUGCUGGGUCAUGUGGUGCUUGUAGCUCUAACCCUUUGAGAAACUGCCACACUGGAUUCCACAGCGGCUGCACCAUUUUACAUUCCCAGCAGCAGCAUAUUGUCCACAUCCUCCCUAACAUUUGCUGCUGCUGCUGCUGUUGUUGUUGUUGAUAAUAGCCUAUUAGUAGAUGUGAGGUCGCAGACGUGGCUCGGAUCCCGCGUUGCUGUGGCUGUGGGGUAGGCUGGUGGCUAUAACUCCGAUUUGACCCCUAGCCUGGGAACCUCCAUAUGCCAUGAGUGUGGCCCCCAAAAGGCCAAAAAAAAAAACCCCAAACAUUUUGUCUUGGAGGAUCCAACAGUCCUGAUUUAUGUCACUCACUGGAUGUGUCAGCUCUUAGCACAAACCCUGUGGAUUCCUCCUAAAAUGAAAAUAGGCAGCUACACCCAAGUAAGGUGGCCCCCCCCAACCCCCACCCUUCAAACCACCCCCUGGCUCUCGUAUGUUACGUUUAGUGGCUUUGCAGUGCAUGUCUCUCAGCCAGAGACGCUAGUGGCAAAUGGUUCUCUCUCCAGCGCUGAGUUUAUUGGACAGGCGGUGCAUGCAGAAUUCUGUUUUAUAUGGCGAUUUGGCAUUUGUGCAGAAAAGUACUGCAAGAUUCUGAAGCGUGUUCUUGGGGGUAAAAUCAUAAGGCAUCUGCUGGAAACGGCCGUGACAGAGACGUUUCAACAGAAUCGAACAAAUAAAAGUCAGAACUCAAAAUUGAAUACUGCUGCAUUUUUGUCUAAAUCACCGUGAGCAGAUUGAGAUGUGUGCGUGUGUGUCUUGAGGGACAAAGGCACACGUCCUUCUUUGUGUGUUAAUUGUAGGGGACCGACAGAUGGGAGUGACCGCAUCACCACGUGAUGGCAACUCCUCUUUCUUCCAAGAGAUUUCUCUCCCCUUGGUUUCCCAGCCAGGUCUGACCCUGGACGGGGGCGGCUGGUGGCAGAUAGUCUAACAGCGUGUGCCCUGCCGGAACAGUCUGCUGGCACCACUUUUUAAUAAGGGCUGGGCUCUUGCCUAAGAGCCCAGCAACUUCGGUGCCUCCUCUGCUGCGCCUUCCCCGAACACACCUCGCCCUCGCUAAUAAAUUCCGAGGGCUGACAUUGCCGGAGCCGGCUGGUCUUUGCCCUCAAUUUCAUUGAGAUGGGCCAUUGAAAACUCAUUACAAGCUGUUUAGACUCUGACUUUGACUUUUGCUCGGCAGCGAGCGAAAUUAACAGCUCUUGGAGGUAGCAAAAAAGGCACUCAGCC
This 3671-nucleotide long non-coding RNA is filed under the name Sus scrofa (pig). RNAcentral's name for it is "lncRNA (ENSSSCG00065010211.1)". Lineage: Eukaryota; Metazoa; Chordata; Mammalia; Artiodactyla; Suidae. The record is from RNAcentral.